This 46-nucleotide non-coding RNA is filed under the name Echinostoma caproni. The record is from RNAcentral. Lineage: Eukaryota; Metazoa; Platyhelminthes; Trematoda; Plagiorchiida; Echinostomatidae.
GCACUACUGACGAGUCCCAAACAGAACGAACACAGCUGUCUUGUAC